RNAcentral lists this long non-coding RNA (826 nucleotides) under Vigna radiata. RNAcentral's name for it is "long non-coding RNA (VRAD_LNC013374)". Lineage: Eukaryota; Viridiplantae; Streptophyta; Magnoliopsida; Fabales; Fabaceae. The record is from RNAcentral.
AGGAUUUGCACUUACUGACAAGUGUUAAAUAGGUUUGGGUCAAGCUCGUGACGUUAAACAAGCACUACUAGGAGGCAACCUAGAUUCUCUCUUUUACCUUUGCAUUUAAAUUCUUAGAAUAGGUUGCAUUUUAUAUUCAGUGUGUAUGCUUGGCUUGACUACUUUUUCUGAAGAUGUUUGACUGGAUAAUUUGCAUGAUGAGACUAUUUGAUGUAGAUGAUAAUUGAGUUGCAAGGCAUGUUGAUAUUCUAUGAAACAGAUGGGUGAGGAAUUAUGAUUGUGGUUCUGAUGCUAAGCAAGAUGUAUGAAUGAAUAUUGUGUAAGAAAGCAUGUUGUGUGAGGUAUGGAGCUCCAGAUUUUUCAUUGUUGUAUGUAUUGUUCACAGGAAAGCAUGAAUGAUAUUGCCUUAAUCUGGAUGAUUGAUUGAAUUGCAUAUAAAUGUCAUAUGAUCAAGGCCAUUUUUGAAAACCCUUCUCUAGCCAAAUUUUCACCCAAAGUGCUUGAAAAUAUUAUACCAUUUUUGAACCUUAGCUUUAAACAGGAUGUGAACCCUUGUCUUGAAAUUCUUUACCUUGAGUUGGGAUGAGCUUGAUUGUAUGUGAUGAAAAGGUUCAAGUUUAGGGUUGUUGGGGGAAAUUGAAAGGCAAUUGAAAAGCAUUGAGCUCAAAAGUUGUUAAAGAAAACUACAUGAGAAAAAGAAAAGAAAAGAAGAAAAAGCAUGAAGAUGAGCUCAGUGCAAAAGAAAAGGGGAAAAGUUGGGAAUGAGUGAGAUUGGUGAGGAAGAGAGUUGUUCUUGAAUGUUGAAUAUUAUGAUAGCUCUCUUAAC